Molecule: ribosomal RNA, 253 nt
Filed under: uncultured bacterium
Lineage: Bacteria
Description: partial 16S ribosomal RNA
Rfam family: Bacterial small subunit ribosomal RNA
Source: RNAcentral
UACGGAGGGAGCUAGCGUUGUUUGGAAUUACUGGGCGUAGAGCGCACGUAGGCGGCGAUUCAAGCCAGAGGUGAAAGCCCGGGGCUCAACCCCGGAACUGCCUUUGAAACUAGAUUGCUAGAAUCCUGGAGAGGCGAGUGGAAUUCCGCGUGUAGAGGUGAAAUUCGUAGAUAUUCGGAAGAACACCAGUGGCGAAGGCGACUCGCUGGACAGGUAUUGACGCUGAGGUGCGAAAGCGUGGGGAGCAAACAGG